CAGCAGUCGCCGCGGUGAUACAGAGGGUGCAAGCGUUAAUCGGACUUACUGGGCGUAAAGCGUGCGUAGGUGGCUGUUUAAGUCGGAUGUGAUAGCCCUGGGCUUAACCUGGGAACUGCAUUCGAUACUGGAUAGCUAGGGAUCGGUAGAGGGCAGCGGAAUUCCGGGUGUAGCGGUGAAAUGCGUAGAUAUCCGGAGGAACACCGAUGGCGAAGGCAACUGCCUGGGCCUGAUCUGACACUGAGGCACGAAAGCGUGGGUAGCAAACAGGAUUAGAUACCCCUGUAGUCCCUGUCUCUUAUAC
Molecule: ribosomal RNA, 304 nt
Filed under: uncultured bacterium
Lineage: Bacteria
Description: partial 16S ribosomal RNA
Rfam family: Bacterial small subunit ribosomal RNA
Source: RNAcentral